GAAAGAAUAUUUGGUUCUGGUUUAAAAACAACUAAUAUGAUAACUUAGACAUGGUAGUAUAUACGAAUAGUGAGUAAGAGGCUUGAUCGAAAAAUUAUAAGUAAAUCUUUUAUUAUAGACUUAACCCAUGAUAUUAAUUUUUAUGAUAUAUAGAAUAAACCACAACACCAGUCGGAUAUUUUAAACAAUUUUUUAAAGAAAGAUUUAGUAAUUCAUUAUAGGAGAGGUGAAGACAGGUGCCAGCAUCCGCGGUUACACCUGCUUUCCGAGUUGUUUAUAACGCGCAUAAUAAGAUAGUGUAAUUAAUAUAAAAGUAUUUAACAGAUAUCAUUAGUUAAAUAAGUAUAAUAGUUGAAUUCUCAGUCUUUUUAUACAUGUUCUUGUAAAAUUAGGAUAAAAACCGGGAUUAGAUACCCCGCUAUUCUAAAAAUAAAAAAUAUGCCAGGUGAGUACGAUUUAAUUUUUAAAAACCAAAGAACUUGGCGGUGUUCUAAAUCCUGUUAGGGGAGCCUGUUCCUUAAUACGAUAAUCCACGAAUACCUUACCUUUUUUCGCAUAAGCAGUUUUCAUACCGCCGUUGUCAGUUUACCUUUUAGAGAAUUUAAGUAGACUCAAUAAGUUGUAAUGACUAAUGACUUCAGGUAAACGUGAAGCCAAUAAGAAGGAGGGUUAUGGGCUACAUUUCUUUAGGUACAGAAGAAAACUGAAAUUGUAAUUGGAAGAAGGACUUAACAGUAAAACCCUCAAGUUAAAGGGUUUGAAUUCGAACUGGGACGUGUACAAAUCGCCCGUCGCUCUCACAUGUAUAAAGUGAGAUAAGUCGUAACAUAGUAGGGGUACCGGAAGGUGCCCCUG
RNAcentral lists this non-coding RNA (855 nucleotides) under Euciroa cf. queenslandica STW-2017. Lineage: Eukaryota; Metazoa; Mollusca; Bivalvia; Euciroidae. The record is from RNAcentral.